GGCUCCAAUUGCAGAACUCUUUACCCAGGUGUGGGCGGGGCUAACAUCAAAGCACUAAGUACAUUACCUGCACAGGUUCCCCCACACCUCGACGUUGCUGGACUGUGUCGCACACAUGGAGAGCCACUCUAAAAUAUGGACGGCCGAGGAAACUCAUUAUCUGCUGUACAUUUGGACGUCGGCAGAGGUGCAGAACAAACUAGAAACGGCGACGAGAACGCGGCCUGUUUUGGAGAAGAUCCGCGAGGAGAUGGCAGAAGCCGGCUUCGUGCGGACUUUUGAUCAGAUUAAUAACAAGCUGAAGAAGCUGAAGAAGGACUACAGGGACCACAAGAAGGGUCUUUGCAGACAACGCAGUGCGGGAGGGAAAAUGUUAUUCUUCAAACAACUCAACUCCGUCUUGGGGAACAGAAAGGCGUGUCAGCUCACCGGGAAAGCGUUUAAUAAUUAUAAGACGAGCCAAGACCCUGGACCGAGUCAGACCUGCAUGGACUUUUUAACUGAAGCAGAUGAGCUGGCCCUCAGUGGGAACAUUGGCGAGCAUGCGAUGAAUGGAACACCAAGAGGGACUUCAUCAGAGUCUCUCUCCCCUCAAGACACACGUACCUUCAUAAAAUAUUCUGAUAGUGCACUUUGCCUUGUAGAGCCCAAGGAGGAGGAUGAUAAAGACACAGUGUUUACUGCAUUGGGGAGGGAUCCUGAAAGGCCCGCAGAGAGAACAGCCGGACACGAGCAGUGUUCAUCAAACUUUUCAUCACAGAUUGACAUCGUAAGAAAUGCCAGUAAAUGAGGUGUACAAAAUGCAUCUGCUCAAGAAAAUGGAAAAAACCGACAAAGAAAUGGUGUACUUGGACUGGCAAAUCAAGAAAGCACAUCUGGAAUUUGAAAUUCUAAAAUACAAGCUAGAGUUUCACAAAUUCCUCAGUAAACUCAGCAAGACGUCACUGUGGAGUUAUUGAGUCUGUUUAGCUGAUUGGAGAGCGAGCUUCCACAGCUAGUGGGUCCAUGACGAUGACUUCUGUUUUGUUUGAUCAGCCAUUUUACUGCCAUGUUACAGACACCGUUUGGAAACAAAUAAGGUGGCCCUUGGCAAAGGCCUAGUACCUGACUGCCCCCUAGCCAGGGAUACGGUGAAGACCUCAACGGCGGAUUUAAGAACUAUCACAACGGCUGCGAUGGCGGAAGAAGGCUGCAGCAGAAAAGGGUCCCCAGUCGUCUUGGACUCCAUGCCACUGGACCCUGACCCGAUUCUGUCAAGGAUCGUUUGGUGACUGUCUGUGCACCAGUCUCCCCAUGUUAAACUAAGUCACGCACAGGCAUCCUCCAUAAAGGGAUACACCCCUACCAGGAGGAUCGUCACACUCGUUUCGAGUGACCGCCGAUGAUGAUGAUGAUGACACCAUCUGGGGGAGAAAUAUACCGCCUCGAAAAACACGAGUUACGACUGCUGUCGAUCUCGAGAUAAUUAAGUUAAUUUUCACAGAUAAAAAACACAAAUCGCUGUGCAAAACAUAGAAUUAAAACAAAUACGUUAAAACAACUGGGGCAGUAUUGCAGUCUCUCUGCCGCACUGUUGUGACGAAACGAGAGCUGGGCCAGAAGGCAAAGCUCUCAGUCUACCGAGCUAUCUACAUUCCUACUCUUACCUAUGGUCAUGAAGUG
RNA transcript from Entelurus aequoreus (snake pipefish), 1662 nucleotides. RefSeq lists it as uncharacterized. The transcript has 8 exons. The record is from RefSeq and is a predicted model, not a curated record. NCBI's taxonomy places the organism in Eukaryota, Metazoa, Chordata, Actinopteri, Syngnathiformes, Syngnathidae.